GGACACAACUCUGGAGAGUCUCGUUACAUCGAGCGCCGAAGGUGCAAGGAAGUAUUUCCGAAUCUCUCAGGCAAAAGGACAGGGGGUCGUCA
Regulatory RNA element from Dialister sp. CAG:588, 92 nucleotides. It matches the Rfam family "Glycine riboswitch aptamer". Rfam says of the family: This family represents the bacterial glycine riboswitch. Glycine riboswitches usually consist of two metabolite-binding aptamers domains with similar structures in tandem. The record is from Rfam. Lineage: Bacteria; Bacillati; Bacillota; Negativicutes; Veillonellales; Veillonellaceae.